AGAGUUUGAUCCUGGCUCAGGACGAACGCUGGCGGCGUGCCUAAUACAUGCAAGUCGAACGCACUGAUGGAGAACUUGUUCUCUUGACGUGAGUGGCGCACGGGUGAGUAACACGUGGGAAACCUACCCUUCAGCGGGGGAUAACCAUCGGAAACGAUGACUAAUACCGCAUAGACGACAGAACCGCCCGGUUCAAUCGGGAAAGACGGCUUCGGCUGUCACUGAAGGAUGGUCCCGCGCUGCAUUAGCUAGUUGGUAAGGUAACGGCUUACCAAGGCGAUGAUGCAUAGCCGACCUGAGAGGGUGAUCGGCCACAUUGGGACUGAGACACGGCCCAAACUCCUACGGGAGGCAGCAGUAGGGAAUCUUCCGCAAUGGACGCAAGUCUGACGGAGCAACGCCGCGUGUGUGAAGAAGGUUUUCGGAUCGUAAAGCACUGUUAUUAGAGAAGAACAGCCGAUAGAGUAACUGUUAUCGGUUUGACGGUAUCUAACCAGAAAGUGACGGCUAACUACGUGCCAGCAGCCGCGGUAAUACGUAGGUCACAAGCGUUGUCCGGAUUUAUUGGGCGUAAAGGGAGCGCAGGCGGUUUGUUAAGUCUGAUGUGAAAGCCCACGGCUCAACCGUGGAACGGCAUUGGAAACUGGCAAACUUGAGUAUAGAAGAGGAAAGUGGAAUUCCAUGUGUAGCGGUGAAAUGCGUAGAUAUAUGGAGGAACACCAGUGGCGAAGGCGACUUUCUGGUCUAUAACUGACGCUGAGGCUCGAAAGCGUGGGGAGCGAACAGGAUUAGAUACCCUGGUAGUCCACGCCGUAAACGAUGAGUGUUAAGUGUUGGGGGGCUUCCACCCCUCAGUGCUGGCGUUAACGCAAUAAACACUCCGCCUGGGG
This 890-nucleotide ribosomal RNA is filed under the name uncultured Facklamia sp. RNAcentral describes it as "bacterial SSU rRNA". It matches the Rfam family "Bacterial small subunit ribosomal RNA", at positions 8 to 878 of the family's 1533-position model. Lineage: Bacteria; Bacillati; Bacillota; Bacilli; Lactobacillales; Aerococcaceae. The record is from RNAcentral.